UACGUAGGGUGCAAGCGUUGUCCGGAAUUUAUUGGGCGUAAAGAGCUCGUAGGCGGUCUGUCACGUCGGCUGUGAAAACCCGAGGCUCAACCUCGGGCCUGCAGUCGAUACGGGCAGACUAGAGUUCGGUAGGGGAGACUGGAAUUCCUGGUGUAGCGGUGAAAUGCGCAGAUAUCAGGAGGAACACCGGUGGCGAAGGCGGGUCUCUGGGCCGAAACUGACGCUGAGGAGCGAAAGCGUGGGGAGCGAACAGG
This 254-nucleotide ribosomal RNA is filed under the name uncultured bacterium. RNAcentral's name for it is "partial 16S ribosomal RNA". It matches the Rfam family "Bacterial small subunit ribosomal RNA", at positions 524 to 776 of the family's 1533-position model. The record is from RNAcentral.